GUGUGAUCUGCUAGUUUUCUAUGUGUUUUAAAAGAAUUGUAUUCCUCUGAUUGUUCGGUAGUUUCAUUCCCUUAGUUUAUUCGAAUGAAAAUACCGAACAACCAGACCUCCCCUGUGUGAAGUGUGUCCUCAAUUACCCGUUGCAACAUUGUUGCGAAUGGGUAAUUGACUAGUAAGUAGCCGUCCUUUGUUCUCGGGGGUGGCCGCCAUUCGACAAACGAACACGUGGCGGC
RNAcentral lists this long non-coding RNA (233 nucleotides) under Pelobates cultripes (western spadefoot toad). Lineage: Eukaryota; Metazoa; Chordata; Amphibia; Anura; Pelobatidae. The record is from RNAcentral.